AAAAAUAUGGAGAGUCGACAAAAAAAUGUAUUCAGAAAUUAUGGACAACCCGUAAAUGAAAAUUGUUGGCCAACUGAUCAAUAGAAAUAGAAGCCAAUCCAAAACCUCAACAACCCUCCAUAAUAAAAGGACCCAAUUGUGAUAUCUGAUGCUCCGAAAACAUAAACACUGAAUUUAUUAGAACCACUAUCAGAAACUGAAUUUGUUUAAGCAAAAAGAAAACUAAACCCAGGCAAAUUACCAGGCUUCUCACAAAAGAAAUCAAAGUUACUCAAUUUUAUUACGGCACAAUAUAUACACAAGACAAACAGAUAUAUUUCACAGCACAGGACAAACACUCGACUAUACCACUGACAGUCACAUAUAACAUGUAAAGUUAAUGUUAAAGAGCAAAUAUAGCGUCUAGCCAUUAGAAAUGAUAAAUAUAUUCAUCCAAACAGCUCGAAUAAACACAUGAGCUAGCCGCCAAGCCAACGGCCGCCAAAAAAUAAACAAACAACUGUGUUGAACAAAGAAUUAAGCAGAUUAAUUUUAACUAUCAUAUAAACAAUACACAAUUUAAGCUUGUUAAUCUAGCAUGCAAGAAAUAAUAUCAAGCAAAAACUAAAUAAUUAAAGCAAGCAAGGAAGAAACAAUAUCAACCCUGAACAUAAACUUUUCUCCAUACAAGAAACAAUAUCUCAUAUGAAAAGAAACAGCACCCAACAGUGUGAACAAUA
RNAcentral lists this long non-coding RNA (719 nucleotides) under Mytilus galloprovincialis (Mediterranean mussel). The record is from RNAcentral. Lineage: Eukaryota; Metazoa; Mollusca; Bivalvia; Mytilida; Mytilidae.